Molecule: ribosomal RNA, 492 nt
Filed under: uncultured bacterium
Lineage: Bacteria
Description: partial 16S ribosomal RNA
Rfam family: Bacterial small subunit ribosomal RNA
Source: RNAcentral
AUUGAACGCUGGCGGCAUGCUUUACACAUGCAAGUCGAACGGUAACAGGCCUUCGGGUGCUGACGAGUGGCGAACGGGUGAGUAAUGCAUCGGAACGUACCCAGAGGUGGGGGAUAACGCAGCGAAAGCUGUGCUAAUACCGCAUGUGAUCUGAGGAUGAAAGCGGGGGACCGAGCAGCAAUGUUUGGCCUCGCGCCUUUGGAGCGGCCGAUGUCGGAUUAGCUAGUUGGUGGGGUAAAGGCCUACCAAGGCGACGAUCCGUAGCUGGUCUGAGAGGACGACAAGCCACACGGGGACUGAGACACGGCCCAGACUCCUACGGGAGGCAGCAGUGGGGAAUUUUGGACAAUGGGCGCAAGCCUGAUCCAGCAAUGCCGCGGGCGGGAAGAAGGCCUUCGGGUUGUAAACCGCUUUUGGCAGGAACGAAACGGUGUCCGCUAAUACCGGGCGCUAAUGACGGUACCUGCAGAAUAAGCACCGGCUAACUACGUG